CAGCCGUAAACUAUGCGCGUUAGGUGUACUGGUGACCACGAGUCACCGGGGUGCCGAAGGGAAACCGUGAAACGUGCCGCCUGGGAAGUACGGUCGCAAGGCUGAAACUUAAAGGAAUUGGCGGGGGGAGCACCACAACAGGUGGAGCCUGCGGUUUAAUUGGACUCAACGCCGGGAAGCUCACCGGAUAGGACAGCAGAAUGAUUGCCGGGCUGAAGACCCUGCAUGACUAGCUGAGAGGUGGUGCAUGGCGUCAGUGACU
Molecule: ribosomal RNA, 262 nt
Filed under: uncultured archaeon
Lineage: Archaea
Description: partial 16S ribosomal RNA
Rfam family: Archaeal small subunit ribosomal RNA
Source: RNAcentral